AUAACCCCUAAAUGCCUUGCUACUGUUUGUCAUAAUUGCUUUCUUUGCCGUGAGCUUGCGAGUACAUUCAAUGUACUCAGCUCGCUUAUCAUGCCAGAUGGAGGAGAAGUCGUGCAAGGCGUUGAUGUCUAUCGGUUUGAUGCUACCUAGGAUCGUGUACGACCAGUGUCCUUGUGGAGUGGAGUCCCACUACUUCGUUGUUCCGCUGCUACAUAAUUUCUUUCCUUAUCAUAGAGCCCCCUGAGUUUUCUACUAAAUAAUGUACAUAGGUGAAGCCGCACCAGAUGUGCCGCUUGGCCUCGCUUAUUAUGUACUAUUCAAAUCUUUGUAUUUGCAGGAGAUUGAUAAAGUGGCUGUUUUCUGUACGAAGUUGUUGUUUGUUGCCAAAAGACUUGAUCUCUCGACUGGCAAUGCAAG
Molecule: long non-coding RNA, 417 nt
Filed under: Hordeum vulgare
Lineage: Eukaryota; Viridiplantae; Streptophyta; Magnoliopsida; Poales; Poaceae
Description: long non-coding RNA (HVUL_LNC001089)
Source: RNAcentral